UCGAGCGGACAGAUGGGAGCUUGCUCCCUGAUGUUAGCGGCGGACGGGUGAGUAACACGUGGGUAACCUGCCUGUAAGGCUGGGAUAACUCCGGGAAACCGGGGCUAAUACCGGAUGCUUGAUUGAACCGCAUGGUUCAAUUAUAAAAGGUGGCUUUUAGCUACCACUUACAGAUGGACCCGCGGCGCAUUAGCUAGUUGGUGAGGUAACGGCUCACCAAGGCAACGAUGCGUAGCCGACCUGAGAGGGUGAUCGGCCACACUGGGACUGAGACACGGCCCAGACUCCUACGGGAGGCAGCAGUAGGGAAUCUUCCGCAAUGGACGAAAGUCUGACGGAGCAACGCCGCGUGAGUGAUGAAGGUUUUCGGAUCGUAAAACUCUGUUGUUAGGGAAGAACAAGUACCGUUCGAAUAGGGCGGUACCUUGACGGUACCUAACCAGAAAGCCACGGCUAACUACGUGCCAGCAGCCGCGGUAAUACGUAGGUGGCAAGCGUUGUCCGGAAUUAUUGGGCGUAAAGCGCGCGCAGGCGGUUUCUUAAGUCUGAUGUGAAAGCCCCCGGCUCAACCGGGGAGGGUCAUUGGAAACUGGGGAACUUGAGUGCAGAAGAGGAGAGUGGAAUUCCACGUGUAGCGGUGAAAUGCGUAGAGAUGUGGAGGAACACCAGUGGCGAAGGCGACUCUCUGGUCUGUAACUGACGCUGAGGCGCGAAAGCGUGGGGAGCGAACAGGAUUAGAUACCCUGGUAGUCCACGCCGUAAACGAUGAGUGCUAAGUGUUAGAGGGUUUCCGCCCUUU
This 799-nucleotide ribosomal RNA is filed under the name uncultured bacterium. RNAcentral describes it as "bacterial SSU rRNA". It matches the Rfam family "Bacterial small subunit ribosomal RNA", at positions 62 to 841 of the family's 1533-position model. The record is from RNAcentral.